Molecule: small nuclear RNA, 105 nt
Organism: Panthera pardus (leopard)
Lineage: Eukaryota; Metazoa; Chordata; Mammalia; Carnivora; Felidae
Source: Ensembl
GUGCUCACUUCAGCUGCGCAUAUGAAAAAUGAGAACAAUACAGGGAAGAUUAGCAUGGUCCUGCCCAAGGAUGAUGUGCACAUUUGUAAGGCAUUUCAUAUUGUU